UACGUAGGGUGCGAGCGUUAAUCGGAAUUACUGGGCGUAAAGCGUGCGCAGGCGGUUUCUUAAGUCCGUUGUGAAAGCCCCGGGCUUAACCUGGGAAUGGCAGUGGAAACUAGGAGACUUGAAUCUGGCAGAGGGGGGUGGAAUGCCACGUGUAGCAGUGAAAUGCGUAGAGAUGUGGCGGAACACCGAUGGCGAAGGCAGCCCCCUGGGUUAACACUGACGCUCAGGCACGAAAGCGUGGGGAGCAAACAGG
RNAcentral lists this ribosomal RNA (253 nucleotides) under uncultured bacterium. Its description in RNAcentral is "partial 16S ribosomal RNA". It matches the Rfam family "Bacterial small subunit ribosomal RNA", at positions 524 to 776 of the family's 1533-position model. The record is from RNAcentral.